GGGGCUGUGGCUCAGUGGAAGAGCCUCUGCUUUAUAUGCAGAAUGUCCAGGUUUGAUCCCCAGCAUCUCCA
This 71-nucleotide transfer RNA is filed under the name Sphaerodactylus townsendi. RNAcentral describes it as "tRNA-Ile". It matches the Rfam family "tRNA". From Rfam's summary of the family: Transfer RNA (tRNA) molecules are approximately 80 nucleotides in length. Lineage: Eukaryota; Metazoa; Chordata; Lepidosauria; Squamata; Sphaerodactylidae. The record is from RNAcentral.